CACGUUAAUCGUCAGAACCUGACUGGCCAGCGUGACGAUCCUGGGACUGGACGCGGCGUUGAAGACGUCCAGCUUCAUAGCAGAAACACAAGGUCAGAAGGUUUGAUGGGUAAAACGUGUUUCAGAGAAGUAAAGGUUUUACUCACAGCGCUGAACGGGACAAUGUGAUUCCUCAUCAGCUCCAGCAGUUUGUUGUGCCCCUUCAAAAUAAAAGUGUUUUUAGUAAUAUUUGAAAUGUUUUGAGCUGUGAAGUCUUUUUGUGUGAUUGUGAGUCUUACUUCAACGCUGCUCAGGAACUGCAGGUGGCCUUCAGUCAUCGCGUCGAAGGCCGAGCUGCUGGGAGCGAAGACCGUCAUCGGACCGGGCAGGUCCAGGACCGAGCCCAGGUCGACUUUCUGCACACAGACCAGAAGAAGGAGUCAAUAUAUACCGGCCAUCUCUACCGGGGCUGCAGCCAAGACCAAGACCCUGUCUGGUCCAGUCCAGUCCAAGACCAUGACCAAGACCUAAGACCCUAUCUUUUGGGCUAUAAUAAACUUUGACUUGACUAGAAGUAAAAUGCUGUAAAUGUGAGGCAGUUCUACCUGCUGGAUCAGGACAUUUAACCUGCCAGACUUCUGUCUUUCUGUCAGGAUUUAGUAUCAAUACAGUGCAGAAAACUGAAACGAACCUCUAACAAAGACUUGAACUUGUCAAACUUCCCGUAGUCAGAGAUGAUCUUCAUUAGAUUCUCCUGAAAACAAACGGAUGUUAAUGAUGGUCGAUGAAGGAGUGAAUUCCUGAAACAGGAAGUUCCCUGUUUCACCUGAGAGUCGCUCUCCACCGUGGGUUCCACGCUGUCCAUCAACUUAUUGAUGAUGUGGAUCAUCCCGUUAGACGCCACCACGUCGGACUGGACGAUCACGCCUUUCUUCCUGCUGCCAUGGAUACGGAUCUUAGUCAGAAGGUCCUGGAGGAAAACACGUGGAGUGUCUAUCUCAGCUGGUUUCCCGGUCAAAGUGAAGAAGACGUCGGUCUUCUUCAGGGUGAUGAGGGGCAGGACUCCGGCCACCAGGUGAAUCUUACACAGGUACUUGGCUUUGGACGAGUCAGCGGUCAGAGUACUCAUCUGACACGCAGGAAACAACAAGAUGUUUAAAGUUCAAGCUGUUCGUCUCUGAAAUCAACCUUCAAAGUAAAAUACUGUCAACAGGAAGGAUUAGCAAAAGUUUCAAAAUAAGACUUGAUGUAUAAACUUACUAAAGUUCCCCUGAAACCUUUAUUGGUCGGGACAAAGAGAGUGAACGGACCCAAAUUCUGCAGAGACCACGACAGAGAAGCUGAAAACACACGAAUACAAUCCUUAAUGUUUUAUUCCUGUAAGAAGAAGUGUAAUUAUUUCCACUGUCCAUAAAUCUAAUAAAUAUGUUUUUUUAUCAGUUAUAUUGAAUUUACUGUGAGGAAAGAAACCAGAACAUAUUAUUACAGUUCAUAUUCACAUGUAAGCAGCUGGAAUCAGAGAACUUAUUAAAGAAUGCCGACACUCGAUUAUCAAAGUAGUUUAUAUAAUAGUGAUUCAUUCACCAGCUAGUCGAUCGUUGCAGCUGAACUCUGACCUAAUCUUUGAGUUACAUGGAACACAUUUCUUGAAAAGUAUAAAUGCUGUAAAGCAAAGUCGGAGCAUAAAAGUGCUUAAAGUGCGGAACAUUCUGACACGUGUCAUGUUUCUGUUUGUGCAGAUGAUGUUGGUACCGAACAGCAUGAUGGCCUUGUUCAGCUGCCCUCGCCACGGUCCUCCAGGCUCCGUGUUCAGAUCGCUCAGACGCUGCAUGAUGUUCCCAUAACACACCUCACCGUUACCAAGGAAACCCUGCAGACAGGUGCAUCUGCAGCACAUACAGCAUGUUAAAUCGUCUGAAUUCAGAUUAUAAAUCACGUUAACUCGUCUGAGUUCAGUAGACAGAGGUGAGGAUAAGUGAAGGCACUGACUGGACUCUCCCCGGCACCACGGUGGUGCACUUUGCGUUCUUGUGGCAGGAAUCCGCUCUGCAGGCGUCUUUCAGGCUGCAGCUGCCGUGGUUCAGGAGGUGAAACCCGGUGAGACACUCGCAGUGAGACUGAAGAGGACACACAGUUAGCUUCCUGUGGACAUACACAGAGACAGACUGUUCCUGAGGGUUAGGGUUAGGGUUAGGGUUUCCUCACCUUCCCCGGGCCGUCGUACACGCAGCCUGCAGACUCGGCGGCGCAGCCUCCCUGUUUGCUCUGACACGGGUCGAUGGACAUGCAGACCUGCCCGUCCCCGCUGUACCCCUCGUUACAGGCACACAGGUGCUGGUUCGGACCGGAGUGGACGCAGAACGCCUGCACGUGGCAGACCCGCUGGAGACAAGGGUUUAUAGCUGAGGACGCAAACACCAUAAACACUUUUAAUGUCCUUUUUAAGACAACUGACACUGACCUCACGGGGAUUCUUUGAUUUCUAUGAUCUCAGCAUUUCCAGCAGAUUGAGACAACUUCUCAUGUUUGGGAAAAAUACAUGCUGUUUCCAUGGUUUCCUGAUCAAACUGUACAAAUGCAGCAAAAUCAGUUGGAAACAAUCAUUCACACAUCUCACUGUGGAGACAUGAAGAUAAAUAAUAAUAAUCUCCCAAGCUUUUAUUAUGUACAACAU
RNAcentral lists this long non-coding RNA (2653 nucleotides) under Cottoperca gobio. Its description in RNAcentral is "lncRNA (ENSCGOG00000012350.1)". Lineage: Eukaryota; Metazoa; Chordata; Actinopteri; Perciformes; Bovichtidae. The record is from RNAcentral.